This 372-nucleotide ribosomal RNA is filed under the name uncultured organism. Its description in RNAcentral is "bacterial SSU rRNA". It matches the Rfam family "Bacterial small subunit ribosomal RNA", at positions 526 to 896 of the family's 1533-position model. The record is from RNAcentral.
CGUAGGUGGCAAGCGAUACUCGGAAUCACUAGGCGUAAAGCGCAGGUAGGUGGCUUGGUAAGUCUUUUGUGAAAGCUCCUGGCUCAACUGGGAGAGGUCAAAGGAAACUACUAGGCUAGAGUUUGGUAGGGGAUACUGGAAUUCCUGGUGUAGCGGUGAAAUGCGUAGAUAUCAGGAGGAAUACCUAUGGCGAAAGCAGGUAUCUGGGCCAUAACUGACACUGAGCUGCGAAAGCUAGGGGAGCAAACAGGAUUAGAUACCCUGGUAGUCCUAGCCCUAAACGAUGUUCAUUAGAUGUGGGAGGUAUCGACCCCUUCCGCGUCGCAGCUAACGCAUUAAAUGAACCGCCUGGGGAGUACGGCCGCAAGGUUG